GAUCGUGCAGAGCUCGAGUUCGGUCGAAAUACACAAAAUGUACCGAUCAGUACUCGAUCAUUUCGACCUUUGCUCGACUAAAGUCCGAUUAUUUCAAGAUUAACUCGACCAAUGUCCGAUCUCUUCAAGAUCACUACGACUUCUAUAUUUAUUUUAUUUCAGACCAACUGGACCAAUACCCGAUCCCUUCGCGACCUCAUUCGAUCACUCUUCGAUCUUUACUCGCCCAUACAUGAGGACACAUGACUGCUACACGAUUCUCUAAGAGUGUGUGCAGAUCUGAUUAACUCUCAUAACUCUGCCUCCACAAAAAUAUAUUGGCAACAUCAUAUUUAACUGUACAAAAAUUCCUCUAUGUACGUAUGCAGUACGUCUUUACUUUUGCAAGUAGAGGCAAAAGACACCAAAGAAACAAUCCAACUCGAAGGUCGAAAACAGAUCGACUCGGCCAUAGCAAAAAAAAAAAGAAAACUGACAAGAAGACAAACAGCAGGCCACAUAAUAUAGAAAACUAAAAACUUAGCAACACAUACCCAACAAAAACCUGUGAUGAAGUCAGGUGUUCCGUAAGGAAAGAAUAUCCUGCAAUAUUGGC
RNAcentral lists this long non-coding RNA (595 nucleotides) under Mytilus galloprovincialis (Mediterranean mussel). Lineage: Eukaryota; Metazoa; Mollusca; Bivalvia; Mytilida; Mytilidae. The record is from RNAcentral.